CAAAUAUUCCUUAUUUAGACAAGCCCUUUAUUGAGCCCUAUAAACUGGAGAACAAUAAACUUCAAGCCGUAUUUUGCAAAGAGCUCGAAGAUGUGAAGAACUGCUGAUCUCUUGUUCUGACUGUCUGGGAACAGGAAUAUCUGCCUCAAGUCUGAGAGCUGUGAUGCCUUUUUUCACCUUACUGAGAAUGGGUAGCAGGUGCUGCACAGUUUAAUGAGCUGUCAUGGGUACUACGGAGCUGACACUGCGAACUGGUUUUUCAUGAGUCUGUGAAUCACCUAAUGCAGCAAAACCAGAACUUGAUUAAGGAGCUGUGGCAUCACUGUAAUGUAACAUUUCACCGACUACAGUUAUGGGUAUCUGAAAGGCAAGCUCCUCUGCCGGGUGGGCUGCACAGCUGUCUUCUCUCAGUAGGUGGUGCCCAGAGCCUGUGGCAUGUACCCCUGAGUGAGCAAUGGUAGUUCGGGAGGUGCUUGAGGAGAUGGAGUGGCCCCUGAGGUGGGGAACCUCGGUAAAAAAAAGUCUAUUUCUACUUCAUAGCCUCGUACCCUCCCACCCCAGCACUGAAGUACAACCAGAAGCCAAGGUUACAUUCCAGAAAAGAGCAGAGCUGUCCUGGUUGAACUGUUCAGAUGAAGUGGAGUUUUAAUCUAAUAAAUCCAGUAUGUGACUUCAAUUCU
Long non-coding RNA from Colius striatus (speckled mousebird), 680 nucleotides. RefSeq lists it as uncharacterized. The transcript has 3 exons. Lineage: Eukaryota; Metazoa; Chordata; Aves; Coliiformes; Coliidae. The record is from RefSeq and is a predicted model, not a curated record.